RNAcentral lists this ribosomal RNA (301 nucleotides) under uncultured bacterium. RNAcentral's name for it is "partial 16S ribosomal RNA". It matches the Rfam family "Bacterial small subunit ribosomal RNA", at positions 509 to 809 of the family's 1533-position model. The record is from RNAcentral.
CAGUCGCCGCGGUAAUACAGAGGCCUCAAGCGUUGUUCGGAUUCAUUGGGCGUAAAGGGUGCGUAGGUGGCUUGGUAAGUUGAAGGUGAAAUCUCGGGGCUUAACCCCGAAACUGCCUUCAAUACUGCUAGGCUCGAGGACUGUAGAGGAGAAUGGAAUUCACGGUGUAGCAGUGAAAUGCGUAGAUAUCGUGAGGAAGACCAGUGGCGAAGGCGAUUCUCUGGGCAGUUCCUGACACUGAGGCACGAAGGCCAGGGGAGCAAACGGGAUUAGAUACCCCCGUAGUCCCUGUCUCUUAUAA